This 2786-nucleotide long non-coding RNA is filed under the name Phoenix dactylifera (date palm). RNAcentral's name for it is "long non-coding RNA (PDAC_LNC012783)". The record is from RNAcentral. Lineage: Eukaryota; Viridiplantae; Streptophyta; Magnoliopsida; Arecales; Arecaceae.
CUCUUUCAUGUAAAUUACUUGAGAAUAACAAACAGAGAGAGAGAGAUAAAAAAAAUGAACAUUAUUCAAGGAAAAUAAAAUCUAAGUAAAGGCAAAUACUCCAAUCUUAAGGAAAAGCAAAACAAGCAUAAUAUAUUCGGCACAUUUGUGAGACUUGUGUGAGCAUUCUUUUGGAAGGGAUAAGAUCCGUAAUUAAUUACACACAAACAGAAAAAGUUUGAAGCGAACAUUUUAACCUUUCUAUAUUGCUCAUCAUAGGGAUGGUGCCAAUGGAGAGGCUAGUGAUAGUACCCGGCACUAUUUGAUCCAACUAUUUGGUGUAGGGUGUAUUAGGGACGGCACAAGAGGGAGGCCAGUGGUAGUACCUCGUGCCCCUUCCAACUCCACCGGAUAGGGAGCAAAUAGAGUAUUGAGCAUAAGAAAGUAAAAACGAAAAACAAAAUCAAAAUGUUCAUUAAUUGGUUAAGAAAAGAAAUUCAAAAAAAAAUGAGAAAAUGAAUGACAAAGUAAAUGAAAGUAUAUAAGAAGAAUCAAGUCAAGUUUUAAUUACUUGAAAACACACCUUAAGGAUGAAAUCAGUGCAUAAUUAUAUAAGAAAAGUUUAUUUGAAAAGAAUUGAUUUUGAUCCAUGACAUACUUGUUAUGUUUUGCAUUCUUUGAAUUAUAUAUUUUCAAUAUUCAGUUUGAAAUGCUCCAUGCUUGAAUAAUUUGAUUGAAACAUGCUUCUACCAAUAGCAAAUUUAUUUUUCAUUUUAUGAAACUCAUAAUUUGAAAUAGGCUUUAACUUUGUACACAAGUCUUUGCUUCACCUUUGACUUCGAAAUAACUUGUGUUCCAAAGCCUAAUGAAAAUUGCUUUCACUUGCAUUCCAUACUCAUCAAUGAUAUUUUGGAUUUCUCUUGUACUCUUUUGAUUAAAAAAAUUUUCUUAUUAAAUCGGUUCCAAUGCUUGAAUAUUUGAAAAAUAAUAUAAGAAUUUUUCUAAAAGUAUUUUUGAAAGAAAUUUUAGAUUUGUCGUUCAUGAUCACCUUUGAAAUCUGAAAGUUGAAUAUAUUUACAAAAAGAAGAAGAAAAGGAUACUUCUAUUUUAAUGAAUAUCUUCUGAAAAAAUAAAAGAAAAGGAUAAUCUGAAUUUGCAAAUUAGGCAGAAUGAAUUGAUUAUAAUUUAUCUUUCAACUUACCUAAUAUUGGUACAUAAUGUCCUAAUACUUGUUAAAAUAUCCUCCAUUUUAUACCGAAACUCAAUAUUAAAUACAAAUAUUCUGAAUGUGCUCUAAUGUGUUUGAAAUAUGUGUUUUCAAUCUUAAUAAUUUAUGAUGAGCUACGAUGUAGAAGAUGCAUAUCUCAAAUUAUAAUCCUGAAAGCUUUCUUGAAAAUUCUUUAUGAAGUUCAGAAUCUGAUUUUGUAUAAAAGCUUAAACUUAAUUUAAAAAUGCUUAUAUCAUUACAUCUUUGUAACCUUAGUUAUAUGCUUCAAGGAUCGCAUCAUUUAGGAGAAUAACUCAAUAUGAUUCCUAAAUGAAAAUUUUAACUUAAGAAAAAUAGAAUUAAUUUUGAUGUCUUGGUUGAUUGCUCCGAUACGCAUCUGAAACAUAUCAUUUCUUAUUUUUAAAGUGUACUAAAAUUAGUCUAAAUGAUGUAUUUUUCAAUGAUCUUGAUUGCGAACAAAUGUUUCUAAAUAUAUGAUUUUAUUUUGAUAUUAAAAAGAUUCAUUGUGUUUCAUGUAUACAUUGAUGUCUAUGAGUAAGAAAUUAAAUUCUAUAAACAUUCACUUGAAUGAUCUUCUAUCCCUUUCUGCAUGAUUGUUGCUUCCAUCACUAAAAGAAAGCUAUUUUUAAAAGAGAGUGAAUGCUCCUAAAGCUAGAAACAUUUCAGCUCACUCAAAUGACUCUUAAAAGAAAGAAAAUGUAAUUGCUUUUGAAAGAAAUUGACCUUCAAAUGAAUUAUUUUCUGAUUAAUAUUUCAGUACAUUUUCUCAAAAAUUAAUAGGAAGCAUAACUUGUUCUUUAAAGAUGAAAAAGAGUGAUUGCUAUAAAUUUUGAAAAACUCUAGAUCACUUUACAUUCUUGAUAUCAUAAAAUUUCAGUUUUAUUUACGCUUAUCAUUAAAAUCUGAAAUUUAAUAAGAAAAGAAUGAUUAAAGAAGAAUGCAUCUUUUGAGGGGAGCUUUAGACAUAUCAAUCUCUCUAGAUUUUGCAUCUUAUUCAAAAGUCACCAUCAUAUGAUGCAUACCUUGAAUAUUUUAUGCAUUGAUUUUGAUGAAUCUCCUUGUGUUGCCAUUACCUGUCUUAGUUAUAUAUAGCCUAUACUUUGAGUUUAAUUCUAUAAAGCGUUUAUUAUCUCAAAUGAAUAUGAUUUGAUACUUGCAAAUAUGCUCUCAAUGGGUUAAGGUGAAAAUAUGCUGAAAUUUGUAGAAAACAUAUUUUCAAGAUUAACAAUUUGAAUGUUUUAUUGAAAAUUAUCUUCAAAUUCUAAACUCUUAAAUGGAAUGCUUAAUUAAUGGGGAGAAAAAGAAUUUCAGAGGGAGAGAUCAUAUGAAACUUAAUCGCAUAAAUCCAUAACUAAAGGAGAGAGAAAGAAUACUAAAUGAGAAGUGAUCCUAAUACUCUCUAAUAUGUAUCAUCUGAAAUUUAAAUCUGAAAAUCUUUAUGUUAUUUGGUUAGUAUAUCUUAUACAUCAACCAUGAACCAAAUUGCAAUUCAAACAGUUGAUCUUAAGUGCCUCUAAUUUAAUAAAAAAGGGGGAGAAAAAUAAAAGUAAAAAAUAGCUUGGAACGUAAUGUUUUAUGU